This 506-nucleotide ribosomal RNA is filed under the name uncultured bacterium. RNAcentral's name for it is "partial 16S ribosomal RNA". It matches the Rfam family "Bacterial small subunit ribosomal RNA", at positions 29 to 523 of the family's 1533-position model. The record is from RNAcentral.
AGUGACCGCUGGCGGUAGGCCUAACACAUGCAAGUCGAACGGCAGCACAGGAGAGCUUGCUCUCUGGGUGGCGAGUGGCGGACGGGUGAGGAAUACAUCGGAAUCUACUUUUUCGUGGGGGAUAACGUAGGGAAACUUACGCUAAUACCGCAUACGACCUACGGGUGAAAGCAGGGGACCUUCGGGCCUUGCGCGAUUGAAUGAGCCGAUGUCGGAUUAGCUAGUUGGCGGGGUAAAGGCCCACCAAGGCGACGAUCCGUAGCUGGUCUGAGAGGAUGAUCAGCCACACUGGAACUGAGACACGGUCCAGACUCCUACGGGAGGCAGCAGUGGGGAAUAUUGGACAAUGGGCGCAAGCCUGAUCCAGCCAUACCGCGUGGGUGAAGAAGGCCUUCGGGUUGUAAGGCCCUUUUGUUGGGAAAGAAAUCCAGCUGGCUAAUACCCGGUUGGGAUGACGGUACCCAAAGAAUAAGCACCGGCUAACUUCGUGCCAGCCGCCGCGGUAA